UGAAACGUGUAUCAAUAUAUAGGUUUAUUGUGAUUCGGAUAUUUGUUUUGUAAAAACAUGACGCAACAUUUGCUGUACAGAAUAAUGAGUUCACAGUUUGAUACAGAAUGAUCAGAAGACGCACACUCCCGUUUGAAUUGACAACCCCACAUACAAUACAAAGAUAGAGUUGAAUACAGAUUCACAACCUUAUAUAUAUAUAUAUAUAUAUAUAAAAAAAAAAUGUUUUUUUAUAUAAUUCAUUGAUAAAAAAAAAAAAUUAAAAAUGUUUUAAAAAAAAAUUAUUUAUCAUCAUGCUUUAUAAAAUGCCUUUAAUUGCCCAUUUCAGUCUAAUAAUCAUUUAUAAAAUAUAUUACAACAAUUCAUCAUCAUAUUACAUCUGCAUAGUUAAAAAACCAACGCAAACCAAACGUGUGUGUGUGUGUAUAUAUAAUCCUGCUAUUAAAUGGAAAAAGCCAGAUUACAUUAAUCCCAAAACAGUGAUAUUGGGUCAGUCUGAUGUUAAGGACUGUGAGAUGCUAAAACUGACCCCAGAUCUGUGACUGUUUCCCUCUCCUCAGGGUUAAAGGUUAAGGACUGUGGGAUGCUAAAACUGAUCCCAGAUCUGUGACUGUUUCCCUCUCCUCAGGGUUAAAGGUUAAGGACUGUGAGAUGCUAAAACUGACCCCAGAUCUGUGACUGUUUCCCUCUCCUCAGGGUUAAUGGUUAAGGACUGUGGGAUGGUAAAACUGAUCCCAGAUCUGUGACUGUUUCCCUCUCCUCAGGGUUAAUGGUUAAGGACUGACCCCAGAUCUGUGACUGUUUCUCUCUCCUCAGGGUUAAUGGUUAAGGACUGUGGGAUGGUAAAACUGACCACAGAACUGUGACUUGUAACUUGAACUGAGUUUAAUAAUGUUUCAAUCAAUACAUCAUCGCAUCAUUCAACCAACCAACAAAUGAUUGAUUGAAUAAUGAAUGGAUUUGAAUGAGAAUGUGCUGAUUGUCUGGUUCUGUGAAUGGUUUUAAAGUGCUCUCUAGUUUUCUUUACUCUGCAGGCUCACUAGUCUCCUCUGGGCUCCUCUAGCCUCCUCUAGCCCCCUCUGGCCCCUAGCCCCCUCUAGCCUCCUCUAGCCCCUAGCCCCCUCUGGGCU
This is a long non-coding RNA of Oncorhynchus tshawytscha (Chinook salmon), 1130 nucleotides long. The record is from Ensembl. Lineage: Eukaryota; Metazoa; Chordata; Actinopteri; Salmoniformes; Salmonidae.